RNAcentral lists this ribosomal RNA (433 nucleotides) under uncultured bacterium. RNAcentral's name for it is "partial 16S ribosomal RNA". It matches the Rfam family "Bacterial small subunit ribosomal RNA", at positions 29 to 507 of the family's 1533-position model. The record is from RNAcentral.
AACGAACGCUGGCGGCAUGCCUAACACAUGCAAGUCGAACGAUGCCUUCCGGCAUAGUGGCGCACGGGUGCGUAACGCGUGGGAAUCUGCCUUUCGGUUCGGAAUAACUCAGGGAAACUUGAGCUAAUACCGGAUAACGUCGCAAGACCAAAGAUUUAUCACCGAAAGAUGAGCGCGCGUAGGAUUAGCUAGUUGGUGAGGUAAAGGCUCACCAAGGCGACGAUCCUUAGCUGGUCUGAGAGGAUGAUCAGCCACACUGGGACUGAGACACGGCCCAGACUCCUACGGGAGGCAGCAGUGGGGAAUAUUGGACAAUGGGCGAAAGCCUGAUCCAGCAAUGCCGCGUGAGUGAUGAAGGCCUUAGGGUUGUAAAGCUCUUUUACCCGGGAAGAUAAUGACGGUACCGGGAGAAUAAGCCCCGGCUAACUCCGUG